GGAAAGGAGCGGUGCCCCCACCCCGCCGCCGCUCUCCCACAGACAAAGAGCGGGCAGGGAAGCGGCAGCGGGGCGCGGGGAGCCCACCCGGCUCCAUGAGGCUCCGCUUCCCCUGACAGCUCCCCAGGCCCUCCGGGAGCUCCCCGACGCUUACCGUUGGAGGAGGAGGGGGAGAGCAAACAAACAGAAGUUCCAUAAUACAAUUUAUUGACACCAACAUGGGUCAUCAUCAUGGUUGGAAUCUUUGUAUCUGCUACAUUGAUUUUGUCGCCAGAGCUGCUAGUCAUGGCAGCAGGAAUAAGAAACAGGGGUAUAACAGAGACAGACAGACAAGACAAGACAGACUUUGCCAACCAGUUCAAGCACUUGGAAGCAAGCCAAAGCCUGUAACUGGUGACCUUAUUGAAAUUUAGGACAAUCACUUUUCAAAUAAAAGGCACCUGCAGUUUGUGCGACUAUACAAAAUAUACCUGCUCAGGAAGUCAAGAGGCACACCAAACAGCAUUCUGUUGCUCAGCAUGAUUGUUGCUCAAUUAAAGAAAAAAAUACUCCACAGACCAAAGUGAAACAGCAGCUGCAACCCUUGAGAUAAAAUGGAAUGGUCUCUUCUUAUCAAGGCUGUGUAUUAACAGUUCUACUGUUGUAUUACAUAUCAGCGAUGUAUUAUCUAUCUGAUUGACAAUUACAUUUUUUUAGAUUUAUAGAUAGAGGCUUUACCACUGCAACUAAAAGGAGUAUUUUAACAUAUUCUAUUAAGUGUGCGCUAGUAUAUUUCAUUAUAUGGGGACAAUAUGUAAAUACUGGAAGCUUCCAGGAAUACCACAUCGGUGGAAAAAUUUUCCUUAUACCUUAAAUAUAUUCCUAUACUGCACUACAAAUCAUAUUCAAAUUUGCAUUCAUGCUUUUCUCAUCCUUGUUAUAAAUCGCACUAAAGGAAAAAAAUAAAACUAUAUCAUCCAUUCAAACAGAA
Molecule: long non-coding RNA, 970 nt
Organism: Alligator mississippiensis (American alligator)
Lineage: Eukaryota; Metazoa; Chordata; Crocodylia; Alligatoridae
Exons: 4
Source: RefSeq, a predicted model, not a curated record